Molecule: unclassified non-coding RNA, 240 nt
Filed under: Hevea brasiliensis (rubber tree)
Lineage: Eukaryota; Viridiplantae; Streptophyta; Magnoliopsida; Malpighiales; Euphorbiaceae
Source: RNAcentral
AGAGAGAAAAUUAUCUGCUUUGAGAAUUGUAGAGGACAUGCUCCUAAGAUGUCUGCCACCGGAGGCAUCAACUUGGUCCAGAGUCAUUCAAAGGACAUGCAAACCAAAAAGGAUUCAAGAAACCAUAGACCAGUGUUGCAGAAGCCUGUAUGGGUAACGACUUUAGGGACUGUACUUUGCUGUCCUUUGAGGAUGGAGCAUGAUGUCUCAGAAGAAAAGUUCUCCGAGUGUUGAGGUGAG